GAGUUUGAUCCUGGCUCAGGACGAACGCUGGCGGCGUGCUUAACACAUGCAAGUCGAACGGAAAGGCCCCAGCUUGCUGGGGUACUCGAGUGGCGAACGGGUGAGUAACACGUGGGUGAUCUGCCCUGCACUUCGGGAUAAGCCUGGGAAACUGGGUCUAAUACCGGAUAGGACCCUCCUUUAGUGUGGGGGGUGGAAAGAUUUUUCGGUGUGGGAUGAGCCCGCGGCCUAUCAGCUUGUUGGUGGGGUAAUGGCCUACCAAGGCGUCGACGGGUAGCCGGCCUGAGAGGGUGGACGGCCACAUUGGGACUGAGAUACGGCCCAGACUCCUACGGGAGGCAGCAGUGGGGAAUAUUGCACAAUGGGCGGAAGCCUGAUGCAGCGACGCCGCGUGGGGGAUGACGGCCUUCGGGUUGUAAACCUCUUUCGACAGGGACGAAGCCUUGUAGGUGACGGUACCUGUAUAAGAAGCACCGGCUAACUACGUGCCAGCAGCCGCGGUAAUACGUAGGGUGCGAGCGUUGUCCGGAAUUACUGGGCGUAAAGAGCUCGUANGUGGUUUGUCGCGUCGUCUGUGAAAUUCCGGGGCUUAACCUCGGGCGUGCAGGCGAUACGGGCAAUACUUGAGUGCUGUAGGGGAGACUGGAAUUCCUGNUGUAGCGGUGAAAUGCGCAGAUAUCAGGAGGAACACCGAUGGCGAAGGCAGGUCUCUGGGCAGUAACUGACGCUGAGGAGCGAAAGCAUGGGUAGCGAACAGGAUUAGAUACCCUGGUAGUCCAUGCCAUAAACGGUGGGCGCUAGGUGUAGGGGUCUUCCACGACUUCUGUGCCGUAGCUAACGCAUUAAGCGCCCCGCCUGGGGAGUACGGCCGCAAGGCUAAAACUCAAAGGAAUUGACGGGGGCCCGCACAAGCGGCGGAGCAUGUGGAUUAAUUCGAUGCAACGCGAAGAACCUUACCUGGGCUUGACAUACACCGGACCGGGCCAGAGAUGGUCCUUCCCUUGUGGCUGGUGUACAGGUGGUGCAUGGUUGUCGUCAGCUCGUGUCGUGAGAUGUUGGGUUAAGUCCCGCAACGAGCGCAACCCUUGUCUUAUGUUGCCAGCACGUGAUGGUGGGGACUCAUGAGAGACUGCCGGGGUCAACUCGGAGGAAGGUGGGGAUGACGUCAAAUCAUCAUGCCCCUUAUGUCCAGGGCUUCACACAUGCUACAAUGGUCGGUACAACGCGUCGCCACACCGUGAGGUGGAGCUAAUCGCGCAAAGCCGGCCUCAGUUCGGAUUGGGGUCUGCAACUCGACCCCAUGAAGUCGGAGUCGCUAGUAAUCGCAGAUCAGCAACGCUGCGAUGAAUACGUUGCCCGGGCCUUGACACACCGCCCGUCAAGGAAGAUUCGCGCCGCUAAUUCAUCGCCCUAUAGGGUCAUAACUGGCC
RNAcentral lists this ribosomal RNA (1430 nucleotides) under uncultured bacterium. RNAcentral's name for it is "partial 16S ribosomal RNA". It matches the Rfam family "Bacterial small subunit ribosomal RNA". The record is from RNAcentral.